AAGAGAAAGGAUACGUUAGAACAAUAAGUAUUUUUCUGCACAGCAGCCUCUGCUCACUGCAUUCAGGACAGGUCUAAGCACAACGGAGGACUCCACUCCUUUCACUGCUUUGAAACUGCCUGGAAACAGCAUGCAUUAAGUUGCAAUGGAUGCAAAGCCAUCGAGCAGUCUUCUCUUUACAGGCUCUCUCAGUAUAUUUUAUGACUUGGUACUGGGUAGGAUGGGGAGAAGGCAGGGCUUGAAAAGGGCGCUGCGUGCAGCCAUGAGAUGCUGCCACCACAGGCACUGGGUGUUUCCUGGACACCUGUCAGCACAGGUGAGUUUAGUGGAAACUGCCUAGAACCAACUCUUAUUUUUUUAUUAUUAUUUUUUUUUAAACACAGCUAUGAAUACAGGCUUAAGAAUGGCAAGCAUGCAACUGUAUAGGCCCUCAAUAUUACAGUUAAUGGUAUUUUCUCACACCUGCCUUUUAUUUUAUUUUUCGAAUACCAGCACACAUACAUUACUUACUAACAAUCAGCAAUACCAAAAAUAAGGUUAGGGCAAAUACUCGUUUCAGGCUUCUAAAUACACAUUUGAAAAAAGGACACUGUAAAUGUUGGAAAAGGUUAUCCCAACAUGGCUCUUCUCCAGGUUCAGAAGCAACCAGCACACAUCAUUCAUUUGAACAUUUUGGAAUCUAUGUUUCAACAGCAGAGUACCUUCCUUCUACUAACUUCCCUAUCCCCUUCAUUUUGUCAGUCAAAAAGCCUUUCAAUUGACCACAUGCACGUGCUCAUUUCUGUAAACACAAACAUACAUAUACAUAUGCACAACAGUACCUGUGAGAUUCUUGUUCUCCCUUCAUUUUCUCUACUUUUGAUAACAUAUCAUCUACUUUGAACGUUUUCCUUUAAAGAAACAGGAAGAGAAUAGUUUGAGUACAGUCCCCAUAAUAUUAAUAACAUAAUAUUUAAUAACAAAACGUAUUCAGUCUGAACUUCAACUUGAUUUGUUAUCAAGAACUAUAUGUGUAAUUUUAGCCUUCCAUUUACAAAGAACCCUCUCUUGGACAUUUUUAGGUGUAGCAGCACAUCCGUGUCAUAGGAAUACAACCAUAAUACAGCUUUUCAAGCAGUAGCAACAUAGCACAAAUAAUUAAUCAGACCUUUCAGAAGCAAUGUGAUUGCCCAUAGGAAGUGCCUUUGAACAGCACGCUGAAACCUUGCAAUGAACGUGUCUAAUGGCAUUCCAGCUUAGCCCAAGGAAAAUCCUCCUGCUUUAGUAACACUUAAGACAAUCAGAAGCAUUCAAGUAAACUCGCCAGUCGUUGCUAUUUUAAUCUUGACCAAAUCUUGAAAACCAUUUAAAAUCCUAUCUGAACAAAAUAGUUGGAAACCUGACGAUAAAAGAGGAUUUCUCCUCCACGAAGUUACAUUAAGUUGACACACACAAAGCACACUGAAUUUUGAACCUACUUCUAGAGCUCACUCAUAGGAAAUGCAGGGGAAAAUCAUGACAGAAUGUUGUACAGAAUAAUUUCAACAACAUCAGUCUGUUUGUGCUUCUGUAUUCAGCCUGUUUACUAUAUAUACACCAUUUAAUAGUCACUGUUAAAUAAAGAUCACACGUGAACGGUAGUUAUUCAAUAGUUUCUGGAAUAAUCUUUUGAUUUCUCUUUAAAGGAAAAUUCAUGCUCGGACCUAGAGGCCAACAAAAUUGCAUAGGCUAAAGUAGAAGUACAAAACCAGGUGGGCAUCCUCCCUUUGUGUCUUAAACCAACUGCUGCAGCUUGCAUGUAAUACUUGCAAGCAUUAACGAUUCAAGAAGAAUGACACGUUUCCAGAUGUCAAAGUCAGCGUAGGCAAAAUAAAAGACAUCAUAAAAUCUUUCAGAAAAAGUAAAAAUGGCAACAGCAAAGAAACAACCAAAUGCAUUUAAUCAAAUUUGCUGCCUUGGAAGUUAACUUUGAAGAGCACAAGAAAUUACUGCGUAACUGUUUUCGUGCAUGAACAAAGAACACGGUCACAUAAGUGACAACACUGAGUUUACAGCAGCCCUUAACACUCAGGGUUUUUAAGGCAGCGUUUACUUGUGGUACAAGUGUGUUCAUUUUACACAUUCCUCUCACCACCCACUCUUACUCCUGUCUAUUGCAGUAAUUAUUAACAUAGUAUUAAAAAGCGUGCCGCUACUCUGCCAAUAAAUAAAACUACCCCACUAUCAAAAUACUGCAUGGGAAGCAUUCGUUCCAACGACAUCAUUUGGUCAAAUAUGAAAAUAACACCGACCCACAGGCCAACAGCCCACUUCAAUCUUCCAUUAAGUAUCACUUCACCAAAGCACACAGCCCGCACUGAUACGUGCUCAUUAACGACUGCCUCGCCACGUUUCUCUGUACUUGAAGCACCCUGGCCGUUACAGAUUCUGGUCUCCAUAUAAGACACAAAAACCAACAUCAAUGGAAAAUUCCUUGGUAAAAAUACAGUUGUAGUUCCCUACCUCCCAUUGAUAAACUUGGCUGGCAUUUUUCUCAGAUUACUGUAGGGCUGGCUAUAAAAGAUGUGCACUGAUAAUCACUAUUGGAAUAGUUAAUUUGCAUCAAGUUUGGAGAUAACUUCUUUGUGUUUUACAUAUGACAUUGUUGAUCAAAAUGGCCAUCAAAACAAUGAUCAGGAAUUUAAGAAUGGUAAAAUUACUAAGUCUUAGAGGGAAGAUAAAGAAAUAGGCGUCUAUUGUAAAGGUCAGUGUAAACAGAUUAAGAAUGAUGCAGCUCCAGAAGAUGCUUCUUUGCAAACUGAACUCUACCAAUGUUUUUACUGUACUGAAGCAAGGUACGUAAAACUUUCCAAACACGAGCCCCAAUUAGAUCUUCCACUCUAGUUUAGGUAUUUUCCCUCUCCUAAAACCUCUCAAUCACCAGACUGACUUCAGUAAGCCAGUAUUUUUAGAAAAGUAAUGCUUGAAAUGGCUGCUGAUCUGUCAGUUAUGGAUCAAAACCCAACCUAAAAUCACAGUUCUGGAACAGAGCAUCAUGGGCACUAAAAUAACUCAGUAUGUUUCAGAGACAAAAUAAGUGUUGCUUGCGCGGCUGAAACUGAACUGGAAUUUGGAGCAGUGGACGACACAAUGUACAUGCAAAGUAUCACUUGUUUCCCAGCAACUACAGCAAACAUUCAAAGAAACGAAGUAAGAUUCAGGUAAAAGAUCACAUGCAUUUCAAUCGACUAUAAAUUAAACACCUGAUACAACCAGGAAGAACUUUCCGGUUACGACAUGACCUGUUCAAGCUACAGAAAAAGCCCCAAAUGAAACAAAAGAGUUUCAGUGAGAGGAAAAAACUGACAGGACUUUGCAAUUCUACAAAUAACAAACACUGACAUGCAUACUUCUUGUGCUGCAAUAUUUAUGUACCUUAAAGUCUACUGACAUGCAGCUGUAACGCUUCAUAUGAUAUUAACAAGGAUUUUGCAAUGUCAAAACUGAAGCCCAUUUCUCAGAUACAUCCAGUUCAAAGCAA
Molecule: long non-coding RNA, 3499 nt
Organism: Numida meleagris (helmeted guineafowl)
Lineage: Eukaryota; Metazoa; Chordata; Aves; Galliformes; Numididae
Exons: 2
Source: RefSeq, a predicted model, not a curated record